This 390-nucleotide transfer-messenger RNA is filed under the name Bacteroidales bacterium. It matches the Rfam family "transfer-messenger RNA". Rfam says of the family: Bacterial tmRNA, also known as 10Sa RNA or SsrA, is named for its dual tRNA and mRNA-like properties. Its role is to liberate the mRNA from a stalled ribosome. The record is from RNAcentral. Lineage: Bacteria; Pseudomonadati; Bacteroidota; Bacteroidia; Bacteroidales.
GGGGCUGUUUGGUUUUGACAGCAGGUAAAACGGGUAUGUAAGCAUGCCGAGCUUUGAGAUGUAGCUCGUUAAUCCAGAUCUCAAACAACAAUAGGCAAUAAUAAUUUUGCUCUCGCUGCCUAAUCCAUUAGAUGGAUGAAGCGUUACCCUGACCCCAGGUGGUUGGGGGCGAGAUAUCCCGCAGUAAUUUGUUCCAGAUUGGUUGCUGUAUAUGGGGUACCGUUCAAACCAGGAUAGUUUGAAGUCCUUUCCCGGGGCCAGAGCGAACUCUCAAGGGAAUAAGGUUCAGGUCGGCUGUCGUUUGCCAGCCUGUUCCCUAAAACCAAUAAACGGAUAAGCAUGUAGAAACCAUAUUGGUUUCUGUUUGGACCGGGGUUCGACUCCCCGCAU